RNAcentral lists this ribosomal RNA (302 nucleotides) under uncultured soil bacterium. Its description in RNAcentral is "bacterial SSU rRNA". It matches the Rfam family "Bacterial small subunit ribosomal RNA", at positions 223 to 518 of the family's 1533-position model. The record is from RNAcentral.
UGUGGGGCCCGCGGCCUAUCAGCUAGUUGGUGAGGUUACGGCUCACCAAGGCUUUGACGGGUAGCUGGUCUGAGAGGACGACCAGCCACACUGGGACUGAGACACGGCCCAGACACCUACGGGUGGCAGCAGUCGAGAAUUUUUGACAAUGGGGGAAACCCUGAUCGAGCGACGCCGCGUGGAGGAUGAAGGUCUUCGGAUUGUAAACUCCUGUCAUUGGGGAACAAGGUGCAUACGUUAACUGCGUGUGCAUUGAUAGUACCCGAAGAGGAAGAGACGGCUAACUCUGUGCCAGCAGCCGC